RNAcentral lists this ribosomal RNA (497 nucleotides) under uncultured bacterium. RNAcentral describes it as "partial 16S ribosomal RNA". It matches the Rfam family "Bacterial small subunit ribosomal RNA", at positions 28 to 507 of the family's 1533-position model. The record is from RNAcentral.
GAUGAACGCUGGCGGCGUGCCUAAUACAUGCAAGUCGAGCGAACAGACGAGGAGCUUGCUCCUCUGACGUUAGCGGCGGACGGGUGAGUAACACGUGGAUAACCUACCUAUAAGACUGGGAUAACUUCGGGAAACCGGAGCUAAUACCGGAUAAUAUAUUGAACCGCAUGGUUCAAUAGUGAAAGACGGUUUUGCUGUCACUUAUAGAUGGAUCCGCGCCGCAUUAGCUAGUUGGUAAGGUAACGGCUUACCAAGGCAACGAUGCGUAGCCGACCUGAGAGGGUGAUCGGCCACACUGGAACUGAGACACGGCCCAGACUCCUACGGGAGGCAGCAGUAGGGAAUCUUCGGCAAAGGGCGAAAGCUUGAUGGAGCAACGCCGCGUGAGGGAUGAAGGUCUUCGGAUCGUAAAACGCUGUUGUUCGGGAAGAACAAAUGUGUGUGUAAACCUGCGGGUAUUGACGGUACCGAAUGAGAAAGCCACGGCUAACUACGUG